RNAcentral lists this long non-coding RNA (259 nucleotides) under Elaeis guineensis (African oil palm). RNAcentral's name for it is "long non-coding RNA (EGUI_LNC070941)". The record is from RNAcentral. Lineage: Eukaryota; Viridiplantae; Streptophyta; Magnoliopsida; Arecales; Arecaceae.
GACUUUCUUUGAAGGUCCCGGUGGCGGCCGCAGUCAUCCCAGCUCCAGCUUCUCCGACUUUGAUGGGAUUCUGCACCAACAGAAUUGGCGCUAGAGGAAGGGCCUUCUGUGUCUUCACGGUACCCUUGUUCUUAAAGGAGUACUCAACGGGACUGAUUUCGAUCAUCUUCUCCGACAUCCUCUUCUCCUCCCUCUACUAAAUCUUCACCCGAUGCCUCCCCGCAAGGCAUCCACUAGGCGAUCCACGACCUCUACGGCC